AAUGAACGCUGGCGGCGUGCCUAAUACAUGCAAGUCGAGCGAAAAGACGAGGAGCUUGCUCCUCUGACGUUAGCGGCGGACGGGUGAGUAACACGUGGAUAACCUACCUAUAUGACUGGGAUAACUUCGGGAAACCGGAGAUAAUACCGGAUAAUAUAUUGAACCGCAUGGAUCAAUAGUGAUAGAAGGUUUUGCUGUCACUUAUAGAUGGAUCCGCGCCGCAUUAGCUAGUUGGUAAGGUAACGGCGUACCAAGGCAACGAUGCGUAGCCGACCUGAGAGGGUGAUCAGCCACACUGGAACUGAGACACGGUCCAGACUCCUACGGGAGGCAGCAGUAGGGAAUCUUCCGCAAUGGGCGAAAGCCUGACGGAGCAACGCCGCGUGAGUGAUGAAGGUCUUCGGAUCGUAAAACUCUGUUAUUAGGGAAGAACAAAUGUGUAAGUAACUAUGCACGUCUUGACGGUACCUAAUCAGAAAGCCACGGCUAACUACGUG
Molecule: ribosomal RNA, 497 nt
Filed under: uncultured bacterium
Lineage: Bacteria
Description: partial 16S ribosomal RNA
Rfam family: Bacterial small subunit ribosomal RNA
Source: RNAcentral